Homo sapiens (human) is the source of this 2698-nucleotide RNA transcript. It is a transcript of the gene named C-type lectin domain family 2 member D pseudogene, with no coding region annotated. The transcript is spliced from 5 exons. The record is from RefSeq and is marked validated. NCBI's taxonomy places the organism in Eukaryota, Metazoa, Chordata, Mammalia, Primates, Hominidae.
AGUGCUGGGCGCAGCCGCGCCUCGCGCCUCCCGCCCCCCGGGGCUGCGGCGGGGACGCUUCUCUGGAGGGUGUGGCGGAAACUUGAGGCUUGGAGUCCGCGGGACCGGAAGGGGCUCCGUAGCUCGGGGCAGGGUGGGCGCGAGAGAGCCUAGAAGCCCAUGUAGCCGCGAAUCCCGCAGCCCCAGUACACCUCCCUCCGUGCCUCCCCGCCUUUUCUGCAGAGCUCCGCCCUGGAGUGAAGGAGGAGCCGUCACCUGGAGCUCCGAAAAAAGCAGAAGAAGGCGCUUUUUAUUUAGCCAGUGUGACCCCGCCAGGGCCUUCUCGGUUGGGUGAGCACUCUCUCUGACCAGGCCAUGAAAAGAAAAAUCUGUGCGAUGCCUCCCCACAUGUCACGGGACUCUGACUUGCCUUUGUCGUCAGAGUUUGCAGAACUUUGGGGGACCUGAGAGGGGAGUGCCCCCUGGACGGGCCACGGCUGUCUGUGGCUUAAGGGCUUUUGGAAGGGCGGAGAGAGGGAAACGGCGUCCUAGUGGCCUGCUUCAGGGCCACCCACGGGCCCUCCCCCAACCUCUCUCUGAUCCAACUUGUUUUUCCAGCCUAGUUGGAAACUUGUGGAUGCUGUGACCUCAAGAAGACUUGGCAUUUUAUUUGGAAGAUAGACAUCUAUUUGCAACUGUCCUGAGCCCCUAUUUUCCUCCCACCUUUCUUGGGGAAACUUGUUUUUAAGGGAUGCCACUGUUUUUGUAACAUGUUGCUCCUAGCUCUUAGCAUUCAUGGUACUGUUGUAACCGUCCAGUGGGUUCACUUUGUCUGCUAGAUAGAGCCGAUUUAUCAAGACGGGGAUUACAAUGGAGAAAGAGUAAUUCACGCAGAGCCGGCUUUGCAGAUAAAACUCUGCAAAGACAAUGUCUAGCACUUAUAUCUCCAGUAACUCCUGUCAAGGUUUAUUGUUGCUUGUUCAUCAUUGCAGUCCUGACUACAAGUGUGAUUGCACUUUCUAUUGUUUUGUCAGGCAUAAGAAAUUAGACAUUGAGUCAAACGUUCUGUGUCUCAUUAGAAGCCAGCCUUGCUCAGUUUGCAACUAUGGAGGAACUGAAUUUCCUGAAAAGAUACAAAGGCCCUUCUGACCAUUGGAUUGGCCUUAGAAGAGAAUCAUCCCAUCGCAUUUGGAAAUGGACAGACAACAUGGAAUAUAAUAACAUGCUUGCUAUCAGAGGAAGUGGAGAAUGUGCCUUCCUGAAUGACAAUGGAGUCAACAGUGGCAGAAUCUACAUGAACAGAAAAUGGAUUUGUAGCAAGCCAAACAAUUAUGUCUACAGUUGCCAGUUAUGUCCCCACUGGGAUACUACCUAGUAGAGCUGUGAGAAGAGGGCCACCAUCCUCCAGACUCCAGAAUGGUGGAAUCAGCAGCAGCUUCCACCAUGCCCCUGGAAAAACUGCAAGUAACAGACCUGCACAUGUAUCCCCUACAUCUAAAAUAAAAGUUGGAAAAAAUGGAACUUUGAUGUUAAGAUGCACUGAUACAAAACUUAAAUUUUGGUCUCCUACAUUAAAACAAUAUGAGUCUCUUAAAAUAUUGAUUUGUUCUUAGUAAGAUUACAAGAGGCUUUGAUUUUUAAUUCUGCAAUGUUUCCUUAACAGCCAUUCUGAAUUACAAACUAAUUCCUAUUUCUGCCACAUUCCUUCCUGAGAACUGUCUAGUCCUGGUUUGGGAUUUAUCUUAAAGGUCUAGAAAGGCAACAUUUUACUUCAGCAAAACUUGAUUCUAUAUUGUUGUUUUUUCUUAAUGUGUCAAAAUUGUUUUGUUACUAGGAUUUCCUAUGUUGUUAUUAAAUGUAUUCCCCUGAUCAAGGUCACUGGCCUAGAAAACAAAGAUUCUGUGUUUUACCAAGAUAAUUCCCAGUGCUUCAUGGUGUCUUUAUUAGGCUUUGACUGCUUAGGGAAACUGAGCCUUAAAAGGGUAAAAGUUUUUCCAUCCAUGUAACUUUCUGAGGUCUUUAGGUUGUCACUCUGAUUAAAUGAGUAGUAUUCUUAGCAGUGACUUAUUAUCUGUUGAAGGAAGUAUUUUAAGCUUUUUGACAUCUUUGGCAGGUUUCUCUAGAAUCCAAAUCCUAAAUUAAGCCUUUUGGCCUAAAAAUGACUGGGAUUUUUCCAGGUGGACCCCCUAGAUAUGCUCCUCCAAAGGCUUGUCUUUCUUGUAGAGUUAUUAAAUGAUUAGGCUUAUUUGGCAAAUACUGCUAGAAGCAUUGUCAAAUAAGAAAUGGUGUUUUACCUUUCUUUAAGCUGUGUUUGUGUAAGUUCAUCAUUUAUAGAAAUGUGAAAUUUUAUGAGAUUCCUAAGAUACUGACAUGCUGAGAUACCUGUAAUAAUUGCAAUUUUUAUGUUGGAUGAUUGUAUGCCACAGAAGCACUUAAAUUUCCUGGUUAAUUGGUAACGUUAAUCAGAUCUUUACCUAUGGCUGUUCUGGGUUUUUGUCAUUCACAGUUAUUAUUUUAAUUUCUUCUUUGGAAGCGUUCGCAAUCAGCUAUAGUCCAAAAUUGCUAAUUAAGAUCAAGCAAAACAAAAUUAAUUACGUAAAAUUAAUUUAUAAGGAUGUUUUUAUGACGUAAAUGUUUUAUUUUCCAGAGCCAAGGAAAUUUUCUGUCACAAGCUAUCUACCGUUUGCAAUAAUUUGAUAAAUAAUCCUUUGUGAACAAA